CUCAUUUCCAAGAUGCAUGUUUUCGCAUUAUGUCACAUAUCUUGCUUUUUCUACCUAAAUGUAUAUGUAUUUGAAAAUUCCACUGUGUUGUACAAUUUGCUGCUUAUCAGCCAGGAGUAAUUCAUCCUUAUUGAGGUAUCUUCCCACUAAAUUACAGUUCAAGGUCAUUACUGACCCACUAGUUCAAUCAAAUCUAAUGUAAGCUGGCACUAGAGACUCAAAUCCUUCUGCUUAAUGUUUCUAGUUUGAAAUAAUGCUGCAUUUUUUAGCUACCAAACAAUGUCAAAGUUGCAAAAUAUUACCUUGAAGCUGUAAAAUAAUUAAGUGGCUUUUUAGGGUCUUACACUUAUAAAAUGCCUGUGAAAUCAGGUAUAGGUGAGACCAUCACACGUCAUGAAGAGAAUUAUGCUCUAGUAUUAUGGUAAUUAACUACCUUCCCAAAUAGCUUGUCAGACUUGUAACCCUUACGUCAGGAUUAGAAUCCUUGAAAUAACUGCCGUGUUUAUGGUUCUAAUUUGGUUUGCAAUUGAUUCUCCUAAAAACCGUAAGCCAGAAAAGUGCUUAUUUAACGGACCACAAUAUAGCCUUCAUGGAGACUAUUUUAAAAUUACUCUGGUGUCCUACAAACUUCAAGUUCCUUUGUUUUCAUAAAUUAUGAGAGGGAAAUGUCACAAGUGCUCAGCGUCGUGGUGCCCCGGCUCUGCUGACAGCUGUAUGAUGCACACUCAGUGCAACUGGAUGGGGGCUGAGAGUUUCAUCAAUAAAUAUGACUCUGAUCGCUUCAUGUUGACGGUCAAGGUAAUGGCAUUUAGUACCUUGGAAACACACACCACGACCAGCCACAUGUGGACCUGGGAGCUGAAAUCCCCAGUGUGGAGCGCAUCUCCUUCUUCUCUCUUGAUAGAAAAUUCACUCUUUAUCUUUCUCACAAUUCUUGAUGAUAAUCUGUUUUUAAUACAGUCAUAUUUCUCACUUAGGCUUUGCCACUGCAUAAGGCUGCUCAUAUAGUGAAUAUAGCCUGUGGAAAGAAGAGUUGAAGAAUAUUGUCGAUUACAUUAAGAGGAGUAUCUCACCUCCUAGCCAGUUUUAGCAUGGGCGCGACCACUGCUCCUCUGAAUCCCUAAAGACAAUUAGAUCAAUGCUUUAAAAUAUAAGAAAAGCAGACCACAGAAGGCCAAGGAAACUAAUCCUACAUAUAGGAAAAAUCGUGUGAAAUAAAUCUCAAGGGCAUGUUUUUUAGAAAUCAAUAUUAAAACGUUUUGUGUGUGAAUUAAUUUAAAAAUAAACUGCAGCUCUCCUUAGUAGCCAAGCUGCCCUACUUUAUCAGUUUUUUCAUUUACCUUUUAUCCUUUAUCUGCAGCUGUUUUUACCAUGAGGAUAUUUUGUAUGGACAGUAGAUCCCAAUGGUAUAUAUAACUAGCCUUUAAAUCCAUUAGUUUCAUUUAUUAAAAAAAAAUACAUCUGCUAACAUUUUGCUCCUCUCACAAUUUAGUAGUGUAGCAUAAUAUGUAAAAUUGAGAAAUAAAAAGGUAUUUUUCAUUAAAUGGUGUGUUUUUUUAAAAAACAGAUAUGGAUACUAUAAUAGAUAUGGAAAUCUAUACACACAGAGUAACUUUGGCUAUUUUUAUUUUUAGCCAGCUUUUCUCAUUAUGAAGCAAUUCUUUUUAGACAAUUCUCUGUCCAUAAAUGCUCUGCUUGGAAAAUUUUUACAGUUAACAUGAAAUACCUAGGUUUAAAAUGUCGCAUAAGAAAUUGUUUAUAUCUCCAAUUUUUGCUUCAGGAUAUUCCAGUGUUGACUCACAUAACAUUUAUUUUUUAAAUAUCCACAGUCACCUUGACAGAAUUUUCAGACUCUGAAAUACGGUGUAUUAAUUUGACUGUGAAUAUUUCCUUAAACCACAAAACACUGAAGGGCAGGAAAUCUCAAAAAUCCUUGCAUCUGGGGAAACUCAGGGUGGUAAGUAGGUUAACAUGUUACUAAAACUAUAGGGAGAUACAGUUUUUGACACGAAUGUUAAAAACAAGGUCUUGCAGACAUUUAAGCUUCAUCUUUUUACCCUUUUGAAUCUGUUUUUACACUGACCAUAAUUGAAAUAAUGUUAAAGUGUAACCAAAAGAAUUCUCAGGAAAAAUGUUAAAAGGGACCGAUUUAUGUAUAAAAAGAUCAAGAAAGAUAGGCUAAUUUUUAAAAUGCCCUAUGCUCCCAGUAUUAAUUCUCAAUCUCUGAAGAAUUCAUUUUAUACUUAUAACGACUGUCCUUUUUGUAAAGAAAAUACCUUUUUCCUCAUUUAUCGACCAAACUCUAAUGAGAAAAUAAGAAAUUUAAUGUCGAUGAAUUAUUCUUACUUUUUUUUCCCCUCUCUGAAGACCUGGGAAAGAAUUGGCUCCAGUUAAUGCAGGACCACUUUAUCUGUGUAAAAAUAUAACAUGGUUAAUAAAAUGUGAGCUAUGAAUAAAAAUGUAGCUAUGGUGAAAUACAAAUGUGGGUACUGCUAAGGUGUAAUACUGUACCCUCUUGUUGAUGAGUGGAGAAAAAUAUCCAUGUGAAGUGGAGAAAAUAUCUAUGAUGCUCUUAGCAAAUUCAAUUAUAUCAGAAGUGUUCUUUAGGAGGUUUUAGAGGCUCGAGAUUUCAGACUUUAAUGCCUGCACACAAACUGACUUUAAAAAGCAAAGAUUUGAAACAGAUAAAGCAACAUUUUGCCUAAAGUUCAUUCAUCAAAGGGCUGCAUAUUUUGAAAAGGGUAAAAGUACUACUAAACCCAUCAGGGAUAAGUAAAGGCUAUAUACUAUAGAUUAUUUUAAUCCCCCAGCUAGAUAUAAAAGGGAUAAUUACAUAUUUGUGGUUGAAGCCAUGUGGUGGAAAAAUCAAUACAACUUUUUUGUAUGACACUUCAUUAGUGUGAAAAAUUUUAAAAGCUGAGAAGAACUGCCUUGCAAUUAAAUGCCUCUGCUACUGCAGCUCCAGUAAUGGGUUUGUAUUAUUAUCUAGUUUAUUUGAAAUAGUGGUUGCACUAUAGAAGUAAUUGGAAAACAUUGAUUAUGCACUUGUAUCUGGAAAGCCUGGCAAAUCAUUACAGGGCCCGGCAACAGUUAGUUAGCCUUACUAAUGAAGCACUAAUUGCUCUAAGUAGGUUAACAUGUUAGUGAAACUAUAGGGAGAUAAUAGUUUAGAAAAUUCUGAAGUAUUUCACCAAACAUGCUUUUUCAUUUAAUAUUCCAGAGAUAGAAGACAUGUAGGGUUUUUUUCCCUUUUGGUUUGUUUUGUUUAUGAUGUUCUCUGGGGGGGAAAUGUAACCUAAAUUAAGUUCCCACAUUCGUUUGCCUUGAAACGACUCUGUUUCCUUUCAGGCUCUCUGCCUAUUAGCCCAGGCACUUUUAGAAAAUGGAACUUAGCCACUACCAGCACAGUUGCCCUGAACAGGUUUUUGGGUCCUGCAGUUUGGACACUUCUGACUUAUCUACCUGGGUUCAAGGGCUUUGUAAUUUAGUCUAUGCAAAAUCCUCCUGCUGUGGAAUCAUCUUCCCAUUGUCCUACUUACAUAAAAAUGUAAUUUAUCUGUCUAUCUAUAUAUAAAACUUGAAAUUAAUUGAAUUAGUGGAACUUAAUAGCACUUUACUAGCCAAAGUAGUACAUUCCCCCACUGCCAUUCUUGGGAUGUUUAGAAGGAAAAAAGAUAAAAACCAGUGUUGGAGACACUGCUACAUAUGUGCACCGGGAGACAAAGACAGGCAUGCUCGUAGCAGCAUUAUCUGUAAUAUUAGCAAACAAACAAGUAAAAACACUAGAAACCACAUUGACAGGAGGGUGGAUAAAUAAUUUAUUUUCUAUUCACACAGUGGAGUGUUAUUCAGUAGGGGAAUAGGAAGGGCAUUCAGGCAUGCACAUUAUGAAUGAAUUUUUGAGAUAAAAUGUUGAAUGAGAAAAGAAAGUUUCAAAAGACUACAUAUGAUAACAGUUUAUAAAGUCCCCCCAUAAGCAAAACAAACAAUUGUAGUGAUAUAUACUUACAUAACAAAAGCGUACUUUUAAAAAUCCAUGUGAUGGUAUAUAAAUACCAAGUUCCAAGAUAGACGUUACCUCAGGAAGUGGGGUAGAAAUGCAGAGGUGUCAAAGGCUUCAGUGGUGGUGUAGAUUUUGAAUUGGGUAGUUAUUUUAAUAUUACGAUUUAUAAUUCAAAUUUUAUGUGACAGGUGUUCUUCUGUACAUUACAACAAAACUUUUGAAAAGGAAAAAUAUCUUCCACCCCCAUAAAAAUUAUAUCAUCUUGCCAAGUCAAAUAACCAAGUCUACCCCCUUUGGUUUUCUAAGGAAUUCAGAGAGAAAAUGUUGCCACUUUAAAAUGUUGGGGUUUUUUGAGGGGGGCUAAUGAUGGAGACUAUAAAUGUAAGAAACUAAAGAUGAAAAAUAUUUUUCUUUAAUUAAAAAAAGAAUCUUUGUAGAAGUUUUUACAAAGACAGUAAUUAACUUUUGUCUGUUUACAAUCCAUUCUUCAGUGAGUUAUUCUCUUGUCCAGGCUUCUCUACUCUUCUCUACAAUGAGUAGUACAUCCAGGUUUACGUGAGAGUAGCAGAUUUAUCUUUGGGGGCAAAUAAGGAAACAACAGUGAUGUAAGGAUUGGAAAGGGCAACUUUUGUCAUUCUUACCAAAUAAACUUCCUUACUUAGCAACAUUUACCAAUAUAAAAGGCAGAUGAAGCGUCUAAUCCUGUAAGAUGCCCAAAAAAUUGGGAGGUCAGUGAGAGAGGGAUGAAUCAAUUUUCUGUGUCUUGCAUUCCUUGCCUGGCUGUUUUUUUAAUUCUUAUACCUAACACAGAUCUUGGCAUCUGGUAAGUGAGCAGUGCCUACUUUUGAGUCAGACUUUUUGUGAAACCAAUUUCUGCAAAAGUAGAUAUCUUGAAAUAUGUAAUUAUAUUUGAAUGCCAAAAGUGAUUGUUUACAAAUAAGGCAAUAAAGGCUCGCAGAAAAGUUCAGCUCCUUAAAUUCUUGAAAUAAAUGAGAAAAACCUUCCUCUGAAACAAACCAGAGACUAGCAAUGCUCUUGAAUUUUCCUUUGCACUUUCAACAUGUAGCAGAAUGAUAUUAUUUUGAGAAAUGCAACUCAUAGGUGAAGGGGCCCACAAAAGAUUUAAAGGGUAUGGAGUUCAAUGUAUGUCCUUGAUAAACAUGCCAAAGAAUUAUUAUUUUUUUAGAGAUACCUCUUGAAAUGUUUGUAGGUGUAAACAUAAAUGAAAUGAUAUCUAGGAUUUGCUUCCAAACAGUGCAAGGUGGGGAAUGAGGGGGAUUGUAGAUUAAACCAGACUGGUUGUGAGCAUGAGAUGAUAUUUGUUGAAGCAGGGUGAUAAGCACAUGGGAGUGAUUAUAUUACUCUGGCUCUUCUUAUGUUUUCAAAUUUUUCUACAAUAAAAAGUUUAAAAUAUGUGGGGAUAGAUUUAUUGAAUUUCUUAUGUGAAACUAUCUUGUUAAGUAGUAUCCAGCCAACGGCUCCUUCUCCCUCUUUGGCUACUGAUUCUUCUGAAAAGGCUCAUUUGUUUAUUUUCAAGUGACAUUGGGUGGCAACAAACAGGUGCCAUUAGUGUUGCCAGUUGAAAUGGAACUCUUAGCCUUCAAUAGGGGUUUUGUUUUUCCCCCGAUGGUGAUUUUUUUUUCCCCUCUUGGAGUUAUUGGAAGUAUCUGGCUAGGGUGGGCAGUUGCAAAGAGAGGGGAUUAUUGUUUAAAUGCGACCCUGUUUCUAGCCUUAAGUCAGACUAGAGCCAUUCUGGGUGCAUUCAACACUGCAAAGAAAAGUAACAAUGCUCUCAGAGAGCCGCGUUCUACAAAGCAGCUCAUUAUUGUAAAUGGGGCAUGUUUAGACUGCUAAGGCAAAUCAUAAAAGUACGGCCUCAACCGCAAGCUCCUUUGGCAGCAGACACUGUCCUCGGGCCAGAUAUACUUCUGGGCAGCCCCCGCACCUCCAGCCUGCAUGGAAAGCUCACCCGAUGAUUCCGAAAUGCAGAAAGUGGAGUUAGGGAAGUAUAAAUGUGCAUGGUGAACAUUAUCUGCAAGGUCUUUUAUGUUAAGGAAAUCAUGACACCUGCCAAUCUUUCAAAUUCCAAAGGGUAAAGCAUGAGGCCUAGUAGGCUGUCAUUGAACAUGACAGGCUUAAUGCCAAGUUUAUAACAGAAAAAGGGCAAUCUUAUUGUGGUUUAUUCAGUUUUAUGUUACUGGGUCGGUAGGAAGGCUCUUUCUCUCUCUCUCUUUUUAAAAAAUCUAAUUUAUAACAUUUGAAAUACCAAACAGAUUCUUUACAUAUCUCCUGAGCCCCUGCUCCUCUUCACUACCCCCAGUCUCUUCUUUAGGGAGCAACCCUAAAUCCUUCCAAUUUAGCAUCUUUGUGAGGCCAGACAAUGGUGUCAGUUGAGCAUUUCCUUCUGUUGUUAUAGAGCUGUUUCUAACUGCAAACAUCUCCGUUUAAUUACUGCUCCGACUGUUGCUAUAUUUUCACCCAACCUGCCCCUCGCUUGAGCCCAUUGGGCUGAAGAAAGAAUUACUCCCCGCGCUGGUCCUUAGCCCUGCUUGUUCGGAUCUGUAAUUGGCCCUGUGUUUUUGACUUUUUGCUAAUAAGCAGCUUACUUUCUCUCCCCCUAGACUCAACCCACCACUUUUGUUUCAUGAAUUUUACAAAGGAUUUUAAUAGAUGCUUUAGGCUAUGCAAAAUGUUAUAUGAAGGGAAGCAUUAAUGCAACAGCCUUGACACAAAGGACGUGUGAAUGGCUGCUUAUCAUUACAGUCAGGUCUCAAAAUUUUCAUUAGGAGUUCUGGAGGACAAAAGAAGAAAAAAGUGCAGCUAUAUGAAGGAAUAUUAACCUAUACUGUGUAACCAACUAUAAUUGCUUAGCAUUUUACAUUAACUCUCUUCAGACACGGCCUCUCAUUAUUUUUACACAUACAUAAUAACUGCUUAUUACAGCGGUAUAGUCCAUGUCGAUACAUUGUGGAUAAGGUUGUGUCAGCACUUCUAAUAUAAGACCCACUUUCCUGGGUUUAAAACAGCUGUAAAAUUUACCUCCAGACCUAAGAUUGGUAAUCAGCUUUCCACCUGGAGAGAGAAUUUUGUUUAAAGU
RNAcentral lists this long non-coding RNA (7100 nucleotides) under Sus scrofa (pig). RNAcentral's name for it is "lncRNA (ENSSSCG00000052011.1)". The record is from RNAcentral. Lineage: Eukaryota; Metazoa; Chordata; Mammalia; Artiodactyla; Suidae.